Molecule: ribosomal RNA, 253 nt
Filed under: uncultured bacterium
Lineage: Bacteria
Description: partial 16S ribosomal RNA
Rfam family: Bacterial small subunit ribosomal RNA
Source: RNAcentral
UACGUAGGGAGCAAGCGUUGUCCGGAAUCAUUGGGCGUAAAGCGCGCGUAGGUGGCCCGGUAAGUCCGCUCUGAAAGUCACAGGCUCAACCUGUGAAAGCGGGUGGAUACUGCCGGGCUAGAGUCCGGAAGAGGCGAGUGGAAUUCCUGGUGUAGCGGUGAAAUGCGCAGAUAUCAGGAGGAACACCAAUUGCGAAGGCAGCUCGCUGGGACGUUACUGACGCUGAGACGCGAAAGCGUGGGGAGCAAACAGG